This 1380-nucleotide ribosomal RNA is filed under the name Pediococcus pentosaceus. RNAcentral's name for it is "16S ribosomal RNA". It matches the Rfam family "Bacterial small subunit ribosomal RNA", at positions 93 to 1459 of the family's 1533-position model. Lineage: Bacteria; Bacillati; Bacillota; Bacilli; Lactobacillales; Lactobacillaceae. The record is from RNAcentral.
GAGUGGCGAACGGGUGAGUAACACGUGGGUAACCUGCCCAGAAGUAGGGGAUAACACCUGGAAACAGAUGCUAAUACCGUAUAACAGAGAAAACCGCAUGGUUUUCUUUUAAAGAUGGCUCUGCUAUCACUUCUGGAUGGACCCGCGGCGUAUUAGCUAGUUGGUGAGGUAAAGGCUCACCAAGGCAGUGAUACGUAGCCGACCUGAGAGGGUAAUCGGCCACAUUGGGACUGAGACACGGCCCAGACUCCUACGGGAGGCAGCAGUAGGGAAUCUUCCACAAUGGACGCAAGUCUGAUGGAGCAACGCCGCGUGAGUGAAGAAGGGUUUCGGCUCGUAAAGCUCUGUUGUUAAAGAAGAACGUGGGUAAGAGUAACUGUUUACCCAGUGACGGUAUUUAACCAGAAAGCCACGGCUAACUACGUGCCAGCAGCCGCGGUAAUACGUAGGUGGCAAGCGUUAUCCGGAUUUAUUGGGCGUAAAGCGAGCGCAGGCGGUCUUUUAAGUCUAAUGUGAAAGCCUUCGGCUCAACCGAAGAAGUGCAUUGGAAACUGGGAGACUUGAGUGCAGAAGAGGACAGUGGAACUCCAUGUGUAGCGGUGAAAUGCGUAGAUAUAUGGAAGAACACCAGUGGCGAAGGCGGCUGUCUGGUCUGCAACUGACGCUGAGGCUCGAAAGCAUGGGUAGCGAACAGGAUUAGAUACCCUGGUAGUCCAUGCCGUAAACGAUGAUUACUAAGUGUUGGAGGGUUUCCGCCCCUUCAGUGCUGCAGCUAACGCAUUAAGUAAUCCGCCUGGGGGAGUACGACCGCAAGGUUGAAACUCAAAAGAAUUGACGGGGGCCCGCACAAGCGGUGGAGCAUGUGGUUUAAUUCGAAGCUACGCGAAGAACCUUACCAGGUCUUGACAUCUUCUGACAGUCUAAGAGAUUAGAGGUUCCCUUCGGGGACAGAAUGACAGGUGGUGCAUGGUUGUCGUCAGCUCGUGUCGUGAGAUGUUGGGUUAAGUCCCGCAACGAGCGCAACCCUUAUUACUAGUUGCCAGCAUUAAGUUGGGCACUCUAGUGAGACUGCCGGUGACAAACCGGAGGAAGGUGGGGACGACGUCAAAUCAUCAUGCCCCUUAUGACCUGGGCUACACACGUGCUACAAUGGAUGGUACAACGAGUCGCGAGACCGCGAGGUUAAGCUAAUCUCUUAAAACCAUUCUCAGUUCGGACUGUAGGCUGCAACUCGCCUACACGAAGUCGGAAUCGCUAGUAAUCGCGGAUCAGCAUGCCGCGGUGAAUACGUUCCCGGGCCUUGUACACACCGCCCGUCACACCAUGAGAGUUUGUAACACCCAAAGCCGGUGGGGUAACCUUUUAGGAGCUAGCCGUCUA